CUGGUCUGAUCUGGGUGAUUUUUGGAUAUGUUGUUCACCCAGAUCAGGGGUAUCCGGGGAUGUAGGAUUUAAAGAGGUACCCCUACAUUUAGGGGUACAUCCAGAAACGGGGGGAAUUGGUGUGCUGGAUAAGGGGAUUAUGAUGCUGGCUGAGGGGAGGAGAUGUGUGGGAGGUUACCAGGACAGGAUUGGCUACUGUAAUAAUUACUGUAAAUCCCUCCC
This 222-nucleotide long non-coding RNA is filed under the name Pelobates cultripes (western spadefoot toad). Lineage: Eukaryota; Metazoa; Chordata; Amphibia; Anura; Pelobatidae. The record is from RNAcentral.